Molecule: ribosomal RNA, 619 nt
Filed under: uncultured bacterium
Lineage: Bacteria
Description: bacterial SSU rRNA
Rfam family: Bacterial small subunit ribosomal RNA
Source: RNAcentral
GAUGAACGCUAGCGGCAGGCCUAAUACAUGCAAGUCGAGGGGUAACAUAACGCUUCGGUGUUGAUGACGACCGGCGAACGGGUGCGUAACGCGUAUGCAAUCUACCUACAGCAGAGGGAUAGCCCGUGGAAACAUGGAUUAAUACCUCAUAAUACAGGGGGCCCGCAUGGGCAUAUUGUUAAAGAUUUAUCGGCUGUAGAUGGGCAUGCGUCCCAUUAGCUAGUUGGUACGGUAACGGCGUACCAAGGCGAUGAUGGGUAGGGGUUCUGAGAGGAUGAUCCCCCACACUGGUACUGAGAUACGGACCAGACUCCUACGGGAGGCAGCAGUAGGGAAUAUUGGUCAAUGGACGGAAGUCUGAACCAGCCAUGCCGCGUGCAGGAAGACAGCCUUCUGGGUUGUAAACUGCUUUUAUCAGGGAAGAAAAGGGUCUUGCGAGACCGAUUGCCGGUACCUGAAGAAUAAGCACCGGCUAACUCCGUGCCAGCAGCCGCGGUAAUACGGAGGGUGCGAGCGUUGUCCGGAUUUAUUGGGUUUAAAGGGUGCGUAGGCGGCUUGUUAAGUCAGUGGUGAAAGGUAUCAGCUUAACUGAUGACGUGCCAUUGAAACUGAUAGGCUG